Molecule: transfer RNA, 58 nt
Filed under: Lovenula raynerae
Lineage: Eukaryota; Metazoa; Arthropoda; Copepoda; Calanoida; Diaptomidae
Description: tRNA-Phe
Source: RNAcentral
AUUAAAGUAAUCAAAAGAUGACAGGUUUUUAACCUGGGUAUGAGUUUUCUCCUUAAUA